Molecule: ribosomal RNA, 438 nt
Filed under: uncultured bacterium
Lineage: Bacteria
Description: bacterial SSU rRNA
Rfam family: Bacterial small subunit ribosomal RNA
Source: RNAcentral
AACGCGAAGAACCUUACCAAGGUUUGACAUGGCCGGAAAACUCGCAGAGAUGCGGGGUCCUUCGGGGCCGGUCACAGGUGGUGCAUGGCUGUCGUCAGCUCGUGUCGUGAGAUGUUGGGUUAAGUCCCGCAACGAGCGCAACCCUCGUCCCAUGUUGCCAGCAUUCAGUUGGGGACUCAUGGGAGACUGCCGGGGUCAACUCGGAGGAAGGUGGGGAUGACGUCAAGUCCUCAUGCCCCUUAUGUCUUGGGCUGCAAACAUGCUACAAUGGCCAGUACAAAGGGCUGCGAGACCGUGAGGUGGAGCGAAUCCCAAAAAGCUGGUCUCAGUUCGGAUUGGGGUCUGCAACUCGACCCCAUGAAGUCGGAGUCGCUAGUAAUCGCAGAUCAGCAACGCUGCGGUGAAUACGUUCCCGGGCCUUGUACACACCGCUCGCGA